UGACACUUGCCUGGUGUAUGACAUCGAC
RNAcentral lists this non-coding RNA (28 nucleotides) under Homo sapiens (human). Lineage: Eukaryota; Metazoa; Chordata; Mammalia; Primates; Hominidae. The record is from RNAcentral.